RNAcentral lists this ribosomal RNA (501 nucleotides) under uncultured bacterium. Its description in RNAcentral is "partial 16S ribosomal RNA". It matches the Rfam family "Bacterial small subunit ribosomal RNA", at positions 30 to 523 of the family's 1533-position model. The record is from RNAcentral.
AUUGAACGCUGGCGGCAGGCUUAACACAUGCAAGUCGAGCGGGGGAAGGUAGCUUGCUACCGGACCUAGCGGCGGACGGGUGAGUAAUGCUUAGGAAUCUGCCUAUUAGUGGGGGACAACAUCUCGAAAGGGAUGCUAAUACCGCAUACGUCCUACGGGAGAAAGCAGGGGAUCUUUGGACCUUGCCCUAAUAGAUGAGCCUAAGUCGGAUUAGCUAGUUGGUGGGGUAAAGGCCUACCAAGGCGACGAUCUGUAGCGGGUCUGAGAGGAGGAUCCGCCACACUGGGACUGAGGCACGGCCCAGACUCCUACGGGAGGCAGCAGUGGGGAAUAUUGGACAAUGGGCGGAAGCCUGAUCCAGCCAUGCCGCGUGUGUGAAGAAGGCCUUAUGGUUGUAAAGCACUUUAAGCGAGGAGGAGGCUACUUUAGUUAAUACCUAGAGAUAGUGGACGUUACUCGCAGAAUAAGCACCGGCUAACUCUGUGCCAGCCGCCGCCGUAA